UGGCGAGUGGCGAACGGGUGAGUAAUACAUCGGAACGUACCCAGAAGUGGGGGAUAACGUAGCGAAAGUUACGCUUAAUACCGCAUACGUUCUACGGAAGAAAGUGGGGGAUCGCAAGACCUCAUGCUUUUGGAGCGGCCGAUGUCUGAUUAGCUAGUUGGUGAGGUAAAGGCUCACCAAGGCGACGAUCAGUAGCUGGUCUGAGAGGACGACCAGCCACACUGGAACUGAGACACGGUCCAGACUCCUACGGGAGGCAGCAGUGGGGAAUUUUGGACAAUGGGCGCAAGCCUGAUCCAGCAAUGCCGCGUGAGUGAAGAAGGCCUUCGGGUUGUAAAGCUCUUUUGUCAGGGAAGAAACGGCAGUGGCUAAUAUCCUUUGCUAAGACGGUACGUGAAGAAUAGCACCGGCUAGAUACGU
RNAcentral lists this ribosomal RNA (420 nucleotides) under uncultured bacterium. RNAcentral describes it as "bacterial SSU rRNA". It matches the Rfam family "Bacterial small subunit ribosomal RNA", at positions 89 to 506 of the family's 1533-position model. The record is from RNAcentral.